Molecule: ribosomal RNA, 253 nt
Filed under: uncultured bacterium
Lineage: Bacteria
Description: partial 16S ribosomal RNA
Rfam family: Bacterial small subunit ribosomal RNA
Source: RNAcentral
UACGUAGGGUGCGAGCGUUGUCCGGAAUUAUUGGGCGUAAAGAGCUUGUAGGCGGUUUGUCGCGUCUGCCGUGAAAAUUCGAGGCUCAACCUCGAACUUGCGGUGGGUACGGGCAGACUAGAGUGUGGUAGGGGAGACUGGAAUUCCUGGCGUAGCGGUGAAAUGCGCAGAUAUCAGGAGGAACACCGAUGGCGAAGGCAGGUCUCUGGGCCACUACUGACGCUGAGAAGCGAAAGCAUGGGGAGCGAACAGG